Molecule: ribosomal RNA, 234 nt
Filed under: uncultured Lactobacillus sp.
Lineage: Bacteria; Bacillati; Bacillota; Bacilli; Lactobacillales; Lactobacillaceae
Description: partial 16S ribosomal RNA
Rfam family: Bacterial small subunit ribosomal RNA
Source: RNAcentral
CCCAAGAGAUCGGGAUAACACCUGGAAACAGAUGCUAAUACCGGAUAACAACAGAUGAUGCCUAUCAACUGUUUAAAAGAUGGUUCUGCUAUCACUNCUUGGAUGGACCUGCGGUGCAUUAGCUAGUUGGUAGGGUAACGGCCUACCAAGGCGAUGAUGCAUAGCCGAGUUGAGAGACUGAUCGGCCACAUUGGGACUGAGACACGGCCCAAACUCCUACGGGAGGCAGCAGCC